Molecule: ribosomal RNA, 504 nt
Filed under: uncultured bacterium
Lineage: Bacteria
Description: bacterial SSU rRNA
Rfam family: Bacterial small subunit ribosomal RNA
Source: RNAcentral
GACGAACGCUGGCGGCGUGGAUUAGGCAUGCAAGUCGAACGGUAUCAUCCUUUCGGGGGUGAGAGAGUGGCGAACUGGUGAGUAACACGUAGGUUAUCUACCCUCAAGACGGGGACAACCCAGGGAAACUUGGGCUAAUACCGGAUGUGAGCAACUUUUAGUUGUUUGAAAGGUGGCGUAAGCUGUCGCUUGGGGAUGAGCCUGCGUCCUAUUAGUUAGUUGGUGAGGUAACGGCUCACCUAGGCAAUGAUAGGUAGGCGGCCUUAACGGGUGGUCGCCCACACUGGGAUUGAGAUACGGCCCAGACUCCUACGGGAGGCAGCAGUCGAGAAUAGUCUACAAUGGUCGGAAGACUGAUAGUGCGACGCCGCGUGAACGAUGAAUCCCUUCGGGGUUAAAGUUCUUUAAUAUGUGAGCAGUGCUUCUUAUAUUAACAGUAUGGGGAGAGAGAUAUUAGCAUAUGAAUAAGCAACGGCUAAACUCCGUGCCAGCAGCCGGGUAAUA